RNAcentral lists this ribosomal RNA (460 nucleotides) under uncultured bacterium. Its description in RNAcentral is "bacterial SSU rRNA". It matches the Rfam family "Bacterial small subunit ribosomal RNA", at positions 327 to 804 of the family's 1533-position model. The record is from RNAcentral.
CGCCUUAUACUCCUACGGGAGGCAGCAGUGGGGAAUAUUGGACAAUGGGCGCAAGCCUGAUCCAGCCAUGCCGCGUGAGUGAUGAAGGCCCUAGGGUUGUAAAGCUCUUUUGUGCGGGAAGAUAAUGACGGUACCGCAAGAAUAAGCCCCGGCUAACUUCGUGCCAGCAGCCGCGGUAAUACGAAGGGGGCUAGCGUUGCUCGGAAUCACUGGGCGUAAAGGGUGCGUAGGCGGGUCUUUAAGUCAGGGGUGAAAUCCUGGAGCUCAACUCCAGAACUGCCUUUGAUACUGAGGAUCUUGAGUUCGGGAGAGGUGAGUGGAACUGCGAGUGUAGAGGUGAAAUUCGUAGAUAUUCGCAAGAACACCAGUGGCGAAGGCGGCUCACUGGCCCGAUACUGACGCUGAGGCACGAAAGCGUGGGGAGCAAACAGGAUUAGAUACCCGGGUAGUCCACGUACCA